GGUACCCCUGAACUUUCACUAUGCAUUUUCUACUUCGGGAACAGCUUUGUAUGUUUGAAAAGUAUUUUAUCUAACCAAGGGCAUAGAGUAGGUUGUUUAGGCUGGGGGAGAUCGCUUGUUGCUUAGUUGCUUAAUUACUGGCCUCGCUAGAAGGAAAGCUGUAUCAACAAAGUCCGGAGCUGGAAGGGGGGUUACUUGGGGGGGAGCUGGAAGGGGGGUUACUUGCUGGGCUUGCUAUACAUUUCAUCACAUCAGCAAGUUUAACCUGUUACGUAGCUAUAUAAGGCAGACGCCCACUGAGGUGUGGGUGCUUGCUUUGCGAACGAUUGCCAAGCACCACUUUCUGCGCAGAAAUAAAGAUUAAGUUGGAUCCUUCAACCCUGUGUGUUUAUUGGCACAAGCGCACCGGGCACGAACUCACCAUUGUUUGGGGACAACAAUUUCUGGCAACCCAGAUGGGAACCUAGCUGACUGCCUUGCCCGGUCCACCUCUUCGGCUCCGGCAACAACUGUGGACGGCGUGAGGGCCAGGCGCCACCGACCUUAUUCGUCGGAGGUCUGACCGUCUCCUGGUUGCCUGACGGAGUCGUGGAGGGGCACAACGGCGCAAUGCUCGAAGGACCAACUUAAUCAGGUGGGGCGAGGGAGGUUUCAACGGACUGGUAUGUCCAGGAAUGACUUCCACUCCCUCUAGAUACACCAGUCCACAAGUUCCAGAUCGGAGACAAGGUACUGGUCCAGACGCGGAAAGACGAGCCGCUUCAGCCCAGGUGGAAGGGACCGUAUCCUGUGAUUCUUACUACUCACGCUGCAGUGAAGGUUCAGGGGGUAAAACCGUGAAUACACUACAUUCGGGUGAAGGCCGGACCAGAAGUACCACCUGCAGGAGAACUUGCUGAGAGUGUCGCACUGGAAGCCGACACAAACGGACACCGUUGGACAGCAGAGCCAGUAAAAGGACUCAAAUUUCUGUUUAAAUGUCAACCAUGUGAAAAAUAGUUCUUUGUGUAGGUAUAAUGUUUCUAGAGUCUAAGGGGUUGGUGCAUCAAAAGUUCGAUAAGAGUCAAAAUGUGUGGGUUCAUUUGGCAAAGGACGUAUUAAAUGUCACUUAUCUUUGUUUGGCAGGUGAAAUAUCGGUUAAUGAUAUUUUCACGUCAUGCCUUAUAGGGGUGCCCACUCCAAUGGAAGCACUCCGGAAUCAGACUUGGUUCACAUCUGGGGGAAUAGGAGGUCCAAUCAAUUACACUAACAACUCCAUGUGGGGAACCAUUACCACAGAAAAAACAAAAA
This is a long non-coding RNA of Alligator mississippiensis (American alligator), 1290 nucleotides long. RefSeq lists it as uncharacterized. The transcript is spliced from 2 exons. Lineage: Eukaryota; Metazoa; Chordata; Crocodylia; Alligatoridae. The record is from RefSeq and is a predicted model, not a curated record.